Molecule: long non-coding RNA, 5154 nt
Filed under: Gossypium barbadense (sea-island cotton)
Lineage: Eukaryota; Viridiplantae; Streptophyta; Magnoliopsida; Malvales; Malvaceae
Description: long non-coding RNA (GBAR_LNC015514)
Source: RNAcentral
GAAGCUUUGAAAGGGGUUUAGAUGAGUGGUUUGGUGUUGGUAGGUUCGGUUUAGAUUAGAAACAAGGUAGGAUAGAAAAGGUAAUUGAUGGAGAUGGAAAAUAGAACUUAAACGUCAAGAAAGUUUCAAUACUAUAAUGAGUAUCGCCCCAAAUCUUAUAUGGUUUAAGGUGAAAAGAUGGAAACAGGAAUAUGGACCUCGACCCGUUACUUAACAAAGUAAGAACCGAAGGUAUAUUGAAAUGGAUAAAAGCCACACCAGGAUUGGUGAUAAGUUUGGAAGAAGUUCGGUUGACGCCACUAGCACGCUAGAUAAGCCAAAUCGAGACUUGUACAAAAUUGGAGAGGAGAAAACCUCACAGGAACAAUAGUUCAUUCAAUAAAAUGUCAAAAGUUCUAACCUUAAAAUGAUUGCAAAAGCAACUAUUUAUAGCCUCUAAAAUUCCUAUUGAAAUUCGGCUAUUGAUGUGUUCACACAACAAUUAAAAGGGUUCCCACUAAAACAUUAAAGAUGGUUCAUGAAUUCGGCAGAUUCAUGCAUUAGCUGAAUAGACACUUUCUUCCCCAUUGGUAUGUACAUGCAUGGGACAUGGGACUAAAUUUGAAACAGUAUUAAAUAUGAUGCAUGGGACUAAAUUUUUAGCAUUACCCUUUUAAUCCCCCUUGGCUGAAUGCUAGAUGCAUGGGACAUGCAUCCCUCUUAAUUGAAGCUUUAAUGAUGACUUAAGUCAUGAAUGGCAGCAUGUACCUUGAAAAUUCGUUCUCCUCUUUGUGCAUGCACAUUAUUCAUUCAAUGUGCUGAAUUUAUGUGUCAACUCCCCCCUUGGAAGUUCUUGAAGGUGAAGGUGCCAUGCAUAUGCUUUAAUUGAAUCAUAAUGGCGUCUUAAGCACAUAGAUGGGCAAUUGGCAUUUAAGUGAUUCAGCCCCUUCUUUCGAUGCAUAUAUGUGCUGGUACAUGGGCUGAAUUAAUGAGCUUAUUAGUCAUGAACUUGGAGCAUGUAUCUUGGAGAUUCAAGGCAUGACAUUAAAUCUCGUACAAUUCCCUUUGGAGUGCAUAAAUGGACAGAUUCGUUCCUCUUGAUUAAUUCCUAUAUGAGCAAAAUUGACCAGCCACAAUCUUCACCUUUAAGGAAUGCACAUGACAUGAAUUUGGGCUUCCAUGUGAUCGGUCACAAUGCACCUUCAUUGAAGCAUCUUCAUUGUUGUCCAUGCAUGUAUUAUCUUCAAUGCUGUCCAUGCAUGUACCUACAAACAAACAAAUUAAAUUCAGCUAAGAAAUUUAGAUCAAGACAAAUUAAAUUCGGCUGGACAAAAUUAAUUGAAACAUGAAUUUAAUUUGUCCCAAACUUAGACACAAUUAAAUAACUAAUAAACAACUAUUAAAUAUGUGUAAGACACAAAUUAAAUUUAGCAGCAGUUAAUUAAUUUGUCUCUUCUUUAGACACAUUUAAACCAACCAUUAAACUUAAAAACACAAAAUUAAUAAGUUCAAAUUGAGACAUAUUUAUGAGCUGAAACUUAUUAACUAACUUAAUUUAAAGCAUGAAAUUUAUUCUAGCAAGUAAAUCAAAUAAAAUAAAAAGAUGGAAAACGAGUUCAUUGAGCUAGAAUCGAGCUUAUUUAAGCUCAACGAGCUAAAUUUGAGCUAGGUAAGCUUGCAAAAGAUGAUAAGCCUCGCUUGGGAAGCUGAUCCAAGGGUGUUCUCAAGCGGGAUCGUAUCAUUCCCUCCCUCUUUGGAGCGAUAUGUCCCCAAAUCAGGCCACUUGCUCGAAAAGAAAUUUUACAUCGUCACCAGCCCUUUGGUCAAUGGAAUGUGUUGAGCUAGAAUCGAGCUUAUUUAAGCUCAACGAGCUAAAUUUGAGCUAGGUAAGCUUGCAAAAGAUGAUAAGCCUCGCUUGGGAAGCUGAUCCAAGGGUGUUCUCAAGCGGGAUCGUAUCAUUCCCUCCCUCUUUGGAGCGAUAUGUCCCCAAAUCAGGCCACUUGCUCGAAAAGAAAUUUUACAUCGUCACCAGCCCUUUGGUCGAUGGAAUGUGCAUAGUUGCUCCCCAAAACCUACAAAUCAGACAUGCCUUGAAUAGGACACAAGUUAUUUUUAUGCCCUCCCUCUUUAAGGGGGAACCACUUCGAAGUGUCACCUACACAAAAAUUAAAUAGAUUAGUGACACCAUGGUUUAUAAGUUCAAAAGGUCUUCUUAAGAUCUUAUGCAAAAAUUGAACAAAUGAACCAAUGCCGGUAUCAAAAGUAAAAGUUGAUUUUUCCUUCCCGCAAUGAGUUAAGAAUUUCUUCGUUGGAGAUAUACCAGAAUCAAGAAGCAUUCGGGAAUUAUAAUUUUGGACAACAAAAGUCCAUGACUUAAAAUCUUUGAACAAUGAUGUAGAACCAAAGCUUUGAUUUACCAUUUGCAACUUGUCAUAGUUCAACAACUUUGUUUUUAUAUUUAAAGUCAUAACAUCAAGCAAGCACAAAUGGUUCACACAUCUAUUCACACAAAAUUCAGAAUGCUUGAUUGCAUUCAAUGAUGAUCCAAAAUAACAAAAUGUUCGAUAGUUAUGGUCUCGAAAAUCAAAAUCCAUUGGUUAAAAUCCCUCGAUCAAUAAUAAAGAAUAAUAAGCACCUGGAUUAAAAAUGAAGUUUUUGCUUACCAUCUCACAUUGACUUGAAUAUUUCUUAACUGGCAGCUUGGUAGGAACACGAAGCAAACUACAGUUAUAAGUAUGCAAUUCAUGUUUGAAUCCCUUAAACCACAAUAUGGAGCAAUUUCUAGAAUCAUAAAUUGAAUUUUGACUUUGGAAGCCAACAAUAUUCACAUGCUUUGUCUUUACACAUAGCGAUAAAAUUCAGAAAAGAUGAGAAGGUUCAACAUAUUUAUUCCAAACAAAAUUAGAGUACUCACCUUUAUUUAGCAACAACUUAAGAUAACUUGCUUCGGGCUUAAACACACGGUUUUGGUCAUUCUUUGUUAAAAACAGCAAAGGCUUUUUCAAACAUGCAAAAUUUAUACAACAAGGUAGAUCCGUCACACCAUCACCAUGUUCAUUUGAACUAAGCACUUUGCAUAGCAACCUUUUAUUACACAAGCUCGAAAUAUUUUCAUGAUGAUUGAAUCUCACUUCAUCCACAUAUUGAUCGAUGCAACAAUUAUCAUUAACAAAAUUUUCCUUGCCAUCAUUAAGAUCAACCACAUCAAGGUAUAGUUCUUUUCCAAAACCCACGUCAUAAGCAAUGUCGUUACUAUGAAUCAAAUAAGGUUGAUUAAAGGAUAUAGAAACCUCACCUUGCUUACUUUUAGGCAUAGGUGGACUAGGGCCACCCAGAAUGCGACUUUCUCCACCCAAGAUGAACCGUCGCUCCUUUGGGAGGUAAAGUAGUUGAAACUCGUCACAUGGAUCAUUAAAAACCAGAAAGAAAGAAACAGAACAAGGACAACUCAUAUGGGGGUUAGUUAAAAUUUCGUUCUCUUUUUCUUGUUCUCGUUCACUAUCUUCAUUUCCUCUCGUUUCUUUUUCAACAUCUUUUUCUUUUUCAAUUUUUUUCUCAAUCUCAAUUUCUUUUUCAAUUUUCUUUUCUUCAUUUUCUUUUUCUCUCACUUUUUCGAUUUCUUUUUCUUUGCAAUUUCUUUUUCUUUUUCAUUUUCUCGCUCGCACUCUUGUUCUUUUUCUUCAUUUUAAUUUUUGUUACAAUGUGAAGAUGAUACAAAAGAGUCAAAAAGAUAAUCGUUUGGCUCAAAGAAAGAGACAGUAUUUUCGUAGGCUUCUCGUUCAUUUCUUCGGGAAUAAUCCUUUGGAAAGGACUUCUUUGAAGCGUACAAGGAAUAACUCGUCCUUUCUCGUUCGUCAUAUCGAAAAGUCGCAAGCUUAAAGCUGUCGCAUCUUGAAUUCCUUGAUGAAUAGGAAUCGCGAUAAGAAUUCCUUAGCAGGUAGUCUUUAGAUGUGUAUCACCGUGAUGAUCUCGGCUCCGUUUCUUGACUUGGUGGAUUUUGUUUCCGUCGGGCCUUUUCUUCCACUCGGUCCAAACAUCUUUUUAAUGGGCUUAGUUUUUCCUCCAACAUUCGGUCCAUCUCGUUCACCAAGUAUUGAAAUUCAUCGAUAGAGGAUUCUUCUCGAGACAUGAUUUAAUUGCUGAAAAAGAAUAGUGAUUAAAACAAAACAAAAAUUAAAUACCUCACCACAAAAAUCUCACGUUUCACUCGCAAAGAAAAUUGGAUAGCACUCCACUCGUGUUUACGCUCGUUUAAGGGCUUUUGCUCGCUCUAAUGUACUCACCACUCGUGCCUUUUUUUGCUCAUCUCACUCUCAUGAAUUCGUAUUUUGUUUCAAGAAGACUUAUUGCAGCUUAGAGGGUCGGCUUCAAAUGGGUGCAAAGGAUAACGUUAGGGUGUAUAGGGUAGGCUGAAACAAGGAAAAUAAAAAUCAAAGUAUGUGUGGCAUUUUGGGGGGGUAGAAGGAAAGGUAGAAUGAAUGGAUGUUCGAAAGUAACAAGAAAUGAUAACAAAAUAAAACUCACAAGACUUUUCACUUUUUUUUUAUACUUUGAUUUUUUUUGAAUCUUUUUUUUAUUUUUUUCGAUUUUUUUUUACUUUUCCACUUUUUUUGAUUUUUUUGUUCAAUUACAAUAUGCUGAAAUACAAAGAAAAAAAUUACAACCUGAAUUUUUUUUGAGUUUUUUUUUCACAUUACGAACCUACUCCGAGCUUGAUACGAACGUCAGAAUUCCUCGUUUUAGUAGCUCUGAUACCAAAUGAUGUGAUCCGGCUCGGUUGAUUGACUUGAUUCACUUGAUUGCCCGAUCGUCGACGAGGAGUAGUUGGAGUUGUCAAAAUUGGGUGAUUUAGGCUAAGGUUUGCGGAAGCUUUGAAAGGGGUUUAGAUGAGUGGUUUGGUGUUGGUAGGUUCAGUUUAGAUUAGAAACAAGGUAGGAUAGAAAAGGUAAUUGAUGGAGAUGGAAAAUAGAACUUAAACGUCAAGAAAGUUUCAAUACUAUAAUGAGUAUCGCCCCAAAUCUUAUAUGGUUUAAGGUGAAAAGAUGGAAACAGGAAUAUAUAUAAGUUCGGAAGUAAGAACCGAAGGUAUAUUGAAAUGGAUGAACGCCACACCAGGAUUGGUGAUAAGUUCGGAAGGAGUUCGGUUGACACCACUAGCACGCUAGAUAAGCCAAA